RNAcentral lists this unclassified non-coding RNA (254 nucleotides) under Hevea brasiliensis (rubber tree). Lineage: Eukaryota; Viridiplantae; Streptophyta; Magnoliopsida; Malpighiales; Euphorbiaceae. The record is from RNAcentral.
UGAUGAGCAAAAUGGUCAAAUGCAAUAAAUUGAAAAGCCAAGGGGUAAUAGUUGGGCAUGUAAAAACUGAAUGUUGGAAAAGGGAAAAGCAAGCAAGCUAUGCAAAACAAGAGGAAGAAGAGGAGGUCAAGCUUUUCAUGGCCUUUCAUGAUGGUACAACAGCUUCUGACAACAUUUAGUUAUAGACAGCGGCUACUUUAAUCACAUGACAGGAGUGAGACUCGAAGAUGACAAACAGAUGCAAGUAGAAGGCA